AGCAGCCGCGGUAAUUCCAGCCCCAAUAGCGUAUAUUAAAGUUGUUGCAGUUAAAAAGCUCGUAGUUGAAUUUCGGGAUCAUCAGGUCGGUCGUGCCUCCGGUAUGUACUGGUCUCGGUGGUUCCUCCUUCUUGUAGAACCGUAAUGCCAUUAAUUUGGUGUUGCGGGAAAACAGGACUGUUACUUUGAAAAAAUUAGGGUGUUUAAAGCAGGCGAUCGCUUGAAUACAUUAGCAUGGAAUAAUGAAAUAGGACGUUCGAUCCUAUUUUGUUGGUUUCUAGGAUUGACGUUAAUGAUUAAUAGGGAUAGUUGGGGGCAUUAGUGUUCAAUUGUCAGAGGUGAAAUUCUUGGAUUUAUUGAAGACUAACUACUGCGAAAGCAUUUGCCAAGGAUGUUUUCAUUAAUCAAGAACGAAAGUUAGGGGAUCGAAGACGAAUCGAGAUACCGUCGUAGUCUUAACCAUAAACUAUGCCGACUAGGGAUCGGAUGAUGUUAAUUUUUUAAUGACUCAUUUCGGCGC
Molecule: ribosomal RNA, 520 nt
Filed under: uncultured Glomus
Lineage: Eukaryota; Fungi; Glomeromycota; Glomeromycetes; Glomerales; Glomeraceae
Description: SSU rRNA
Rfam family: Eukaryotic small subunit ribosomal RNA
Source: RNAcentral